GAUGAAGAACGCAGCGAAAUGCGAUAAGUAAUGUGAAUUGCAGAAUUCAGUGAAUCAUCGAAUCUUUGAACGCACCUUGCGCCCUUUGGCUAUUCUGAAGGGCAUGCCUGUUUGAGUAUCGUGAACACCUCAACUCUCAUGGUCUGCCAUGAUGAGCUUGGACUUUGGGGGUCUUGCUGGCCUACUGUCAGCUCCUCUCAAAUGAAUCAGCUUACCAGUGUUUGGUGGCACCACAGGUGUGAUAACUAUCUACGCUUGUGGUUUUUCCACCAGGUAACCUUCAGCAGUGGAGGUUCGCUGGAGCUCAUAGAUGUCUCUCCUCGGUGAGGACAGCCCUUUGAACGUUUGAUCUCAAAUCAGGUAGGACUACCCGCUGAACUUAAGCAUAUCAAUAAGCGGAGGA
RNAcentral lists this unclassified non-coding RNA (403 nucleotides) under soil metagenome. RNAcentral describes it as "partial contains 5.8S ribosomal RNA, internal transcribed spacer 2, and large subunit ribosomal RNA". The stretch from base 1 to 121 matches the Rfam family "5.8S ribosomal RNA", at positions 35 to 154 of the family's 154-position model. The record is from RNAcentral.